UUGUUGCGGUUAAAAAGCUCGUAGUUGGAUCUCGGCAGGUAGGGGGCGGUUCGUUUCUGACGGUACUGCCCCAUUUACCUGUGUUUUUGACGGAGGUCUGAGGGUGCUCUUCACCGAGUGUCCCCAAACGCCGUCAGGUUUACUUUGAAAAAAUUAGAGUGCUCAAAGCAGGCUUCAAGCUUGAAUAUUUGUGCAUGGAAUAAUGGAAUAGGAAGUCGUUUCUAUUUUGUUGGUUUUCGGAAAUUGACUUAAUGAUUAAUAGGGACAGCCGGGGGCAUUAGUAUUCAGACGCUAGAGGUGAAAUUCUUGGACCGUCUGAAGACUAACUACUGCGAAAGCAUUUGCCAAGAGUGUUUUCAUUAAUCAAGAACGAAAGUUAGAGGUUCGAAGGCGAUCAGAUACCGCCCUAGUUCUAACCAUAAACGAUGCCAGCUAGCGAUCCGUAGCUGUUUUCAUGUAGGCUCUACGGGAAGCUUCCGGGAAACCAAAGCUGUGGGUUCCGGGGGAA
Molecule: ribosomal RNA, 508 nt
Filed under: uncultured marine eukaryote
Lineage: Eukaryota
Description: SSU rRNA
Rfam family: Eukaryotic small subunit ribosomal RNA
Source: RNAcentral